CUUCUUCCUUGUCUUUCUCUCGUUGGGAAGAACUUUUUGUCUCCAAUUUUUUAUCGUAAAAUCAGCAGAGAAGCCUCUCCUUGAAGCAUGAAAACCAGCGACAAAAUCUCAAGAAGAAAGAGAAGAAGAGAGGGUAGGCAUGAAGAGUUUGGGGCGUCCAACUCUUGGACGUCCCCUUACCUUUUUUUUCUUCUUAGGUGACCACAAGGGAAGGGAUGCCUCUUCCUUUUUCACAGGAGGAAGAGAGGAAAGGGGGUGCACAAAAAAAUGGGGCAUGGGGUUUCUUCUCAACAUGAAAAAAUGUGGUGCACGG
RNAcentral lists this long non-coding RNA (313 nucleotides) under Elaeis guineensis (African oil palm). RNAcentral describes it as "long non-coding RNA (EGUI_LNC042747)". The record is from RNAcentral. Lineage: Eukaryota; Viridiplantae; Streptophyta; Magnoliopsida; Arecales; Arecaceae.